RNAcentral lists this transfer RNA (87 nucleotides) under Candidatus Crickella equi. Its description in RNAcentral is "tRNA-Leu". It matches the Rfam family "tRNA". From Rfam's summary of the family: Transfer RNA (tRNA) molecules are approximately 80 nucleotides in length. Their secondary structure includes four short double-helical elements and three loops (D, anti-codon, and T loops). The record is from RNAcentral. Lineage: Bacteria; Bacillati; Bacillota; Clostridia; Peptostreptococcales; Anaerovoracaceae.
GCCGGCGUGGUGGAAUUGGCAGACGCGCGGGAUUCAAAAUCCCGUGGUAGAAAUACCGUGUGGGUUCGACCCCCACCGCCGGCACCA